Molecule: long non-coding RNA, 393 nt
Organism: Schistocerca nitens (vagrant locust)
Lineage: Eukaryota; Metazoa; Arthropoda; Insecta; Orthoptera; Acrididae
Exons: 3
Source: RefSeq, a predicted model, not a curated record
AGGUGGAAACACUUCUCGAUCAGCUGAAAACUGUGGGGUUUUCAUACUGCGUGAGAAGUAGUCGUUUUAAAGAGCCUUCUUCAGAUGUUAUGAAAAGAAGACCAUGUGACUCCUCGUAAGAGAUUGAGGAUCAUGGAUACUAGAAAAUCCAACUGCCCAGCAACUUUAAAUAUGAAGUGUAUAAGGGUGUAUCCUGAUUACAGUAUGCACUCAGCAACUGAACACAGGGAUACCAAGGCAAAAGUUCUUGCAAGUCUACAGAAAGAUUUGGCAUUGCCAUGCCCGCCAAAGAGCUAUCUACGUUAUUAUUUGACUGCUUCCCCAGCAAGUGCACACACACAUGCUACUGAAAGUGUUGAAGCAAGUGGGUACAUACAUCCUUCACUUAGUACU